RNAcentral lists this ribosomal RNA (2299 nucleotides) under human gut metagenome. RNAcentral describes it as "bacterial LSU rRNA". It matches the Rfam family "Bacterial large subunit ribosomal RNA", at positions 14 to 2308 of the family's 2925-position model. The record is from RNAcentral.
AGAGCAUACGGUGGAUGCCUUGGCGAUAUCUGCCGACGAAGGACGUGACAAGCUGCGAAAAGCUGCGGAGAGAUGCAAAUAAUCGUUGACCCGCAGACAUCCGAAUGGAGAAAUCCGGCUGUGAUGAUGCACAGCCAUCCAUGCCCAAGAGCAUGAGAAGGGAACCGGGCGAACUGAAACAUCUAAGUAACCCGAGGAAAAGAAAUCAAACGAGAUACCCCAAGUAGCGGCGAGCGAACAGGGAAGAAGCCCAAACCGGUGAAGGAAACUUUACCGGGGUUGAGGACCAUCAGACCCGCGAAGAACUUUAGCCGAAACUGUUGGGAAACAGGGCCAAAGACAGUGAAAGCCUGGUAGGCGAAAAAGAGAAACGCGGAGAUGGCACCAGAGUACCGCGGGACACGAGAAAUCCCGUGGGAAGCAGGGGGGACCACCCUCCAAGGCAAAACACAGAUAUCGACCGAUAGCGCAUAGUACCAUGAGGGAAAGGUGAAAAGCACCCCGGGAGGGGAAUGAAAGAGAACCUGAAACCGUAUGUUUACAAGCAGUCGGAGACCGCUUAAUAAUAAGGUCGACGGCGUGCCUAUUGAAGAAUGAACCGGCGAGUUACGAAGCCUGGCAAGGUUAAGCAGGAAAUGCGGAGCCGAAGCGAAAGCGAGUCUUAAGAGGGCGCAAGUCAGGAGGCGUAGACCCGAAACCACAGUGAUCUACCCAUGUCCAGGUUGAAACACAGGUAAAAAUGUGUGGAGGACCGAACCUAUAUCCGUUGAAAAGGGUUAGGAUGAGGUGUGGGUAGGGGUGAAAUUCCAAUCGAACGUGGAGAUAGCUGGUUCUCCCCGAAAUAGCUUUAGGGCUAGCCUCAGGGAAAAGAUUGCAGGCGGUAGAGCACUGAUCAGGAGAGGGACCUACCCGGUUACCAAACCCAGUCAAACUCCGAAUGGCUGCAAUCAUACCUGGGAGUCAGACUGCGACUAAUAAGGGCCGUAGUCAAAAGGGAAACAGCCCAGACCAUCAGCUAAGGUCCCCAAUGCCGUGCUAAGUGGCGAAGGAUGUGGCAUUUCAUAAACAACCAGGAUGUUGGCUCAGAAGCAGCCACCAUUUAAAGAGUGCGUAAUAGCUCACUGGUCGAGAGACGCUGCGCCGAAAAUGUCCGGGGCUCAAGCACGGAACCGAAGCUAUGGCAUGAUAGCAAUAUCAUGGGUAGGGGAGCGUUCUUAUAAGGAAGAAGCAUGACCGGAAGGACAUGUGGACAAAUAAGAAGUGAGAAUGCCGGUAUGAGUAUCGAAAAGAAAGGUGAGAAUCCUUUCCACCGAAAGCCCGAGGGUUCCUGAGCAACGAUCGUCGACUCAGGGUAAGUCGGGACCUAAGCCGAGGCGAGAAGCGUAGGCGAUGGACAACAGGUUGAAAUUCCUGUACCGGAUCAAGUCGAUCGAGCGAAGGAGCGACGCAGGAGGGCACAUGAUCGCGCGGCUGGAAGAGCGCGUCCAAGUGCGUAUGUUGCUGCAGAGGAAAACCCCUGCAGCUAAAAGCAGAGACAUGAAGGGGAGUUAAAGGAAACUUUGACGAACUCAUGGAUCCCACACUGCCAAGAAAAACUUCUAGCGAGACAAGAUCCGCCCGUACCGUAAACCGACACAGGUAGGCGGGGAGAGAAUCCUAAGGUGCGCGGGAAAACCCUCGUUAAGGAACUCGGCAAAUUGCAUCCGUAACCUAGGGAGAAGGAUGGCCCCCGGUCAGUGAAGAGCAGAAACGCUCAGAGCUAAAAGGGGCGGCAGAAAAGAGGCCCAAGCAACUGUUUACCAAAAACACAGGUGCCUGCGAAAGCGAAAGCUGAAGUAUAGGUGCUGACGCCUGCCCGGUGCCGGAAGGUUAAGGAGAGAAGUUAGCGAAAGCGAAGCAUCGAACUGAAGCCCCGGUGAACGGCGGCCGUAACUAUAACGGUCCUAAGGUAGCGAAAUUCCUUGUCGGGUAAGUUCCGACCCGCAUGAAAGGCGUAAUGAUUUGGGCACUGUCUCAACGAGGGGCCCGGUGAAAUUGAAAUACCUGUGAAGAUGCAGGUUACCCGCGACUGGACAGAAAGACCCCAUGGAGCUUCACUGCAGCUUGAGAUUGAAUCCCGGUGACAGAUGCACAGGAUAGGUGGGAGGCGCCGAAGCAUUGCCCUAGGGCGGUGCGGAGCCGAUGUUGGGAUACCACCCUUCUGUUGCUGAGAUUCUAACGCGAGGAGUAACGACCCUGCGGACCCUCUCAGGCAGGCGGUUUGACUGGGGCGGUCGCCUCCGAAAGAGUAACGGAGGCG